GCCUGGGUGGCUCAGUCGGUUGAGCGUCUGACCGGCUCAGGUCAUGAUCUCACACUGCGUGGGUUCGAGCCCCGCAUUGGGCU
This 83-nucleotide transfer RNA is filed under the name Felis catus (domestic cat). It matches the Rfam family "tRNA". Rfam says of the family: Transfer RNA (tRNA) molecules are approximately 80 nucleotides in length. RNAcentral also lists the same sequence under 1 other name. The record is from Rfam by way of RNAcentral. Lineage: Eukaryota; Metazoa; Chordata; Mammalia; Carnivora; Felidae.